Molecule: long non-coding RNA, 655 nt
Filed under: Helianthus annuus (common sunflower)
Lineage: Eukaryota; Viridiplantae; Streptophyta; Magnoliopsida; Asterales; Asteraceae
Description: sRNA HanXRQr2_Chr07g0288751
Source: RNAcentral
UUUCUCUCUUAAUCUCUUAAAAUACACGUGUGUUGCCAUUUGCCACCUACCUUUCUUCUAGAUCCCUCUUUUUCUUCCUCUGUUCUCACUGAGCUCUUGAACGGUUGAACCCUAAUUUUUCUUUAACAGUCGCUUCAAAACUCCUGCACUUCUAAAGUAACUCGACAACCUUUGUGGGAUUGUUGCAGGUGGGAAAUCUUCUGCAGGCAUCGCAAACGGCCGCAACAUUUUCUCCAUCUUUUCUAGAGUAAGGUAUGACUAGCCAGGAGCUUUAAUUUGAUGUUCAGGUAAUUGCUAAUUUUGACAUAAGAAAAAAAAAGAAGUUUUAUAGUGAAGCCGCAUGUCAAGUUGCAACUUUAGGCUAUGUGAACUUAAUUUCAUAAGAAGUUUUAUGGUGAAGCCGGAGCUUUGUGUAAAAGAAAAAAAAAGAAGAACAACUUGGUCUAUACAUGUUCAUAUUCCUUCAAAAGAAUAACACGAGCGUGACAAUUGCGAACCAUUAUAUAUUCGGUAGUUCUUACCACCCCUGUUUUAGUUGAGCAUCAUAGUUUUUUCCACUUUUGGGAUGUAUUUGAAUUGAGUCGUUACUUGAGAAAAUCUUUAUCCAUUCCUUUGUAAAAAGAGCCUUUUGUUUUGAAGAAAUUGUAUUAUUAUG